GGUGAAAACUGUAGGUGCAAGUCUUCCUCUUCAACUCUGGAACGGUUGCCAUCUCUCACAGUGAAUAGACUCCUGAAUGAACCUGAGAAAUGAUAUGCAUGAGGAAAUUAGCUUUUUUUCUUUUCUCUUUUCUUUUUUUUAUUUCUUUUUUCCAUUUUUUUAUUGCAUUAUUUUUCAGAAAUAAACAUGAUAUGAUGCAAAUGGUGCAAACACGACUGGUUGGCUGUGUAUCACGGAGCACAGGUUCAAAGCUUCGGCUUGAAUUCGGAACCACAAAGUCAUCUGAGACCCAAAGUCAUCUGGAACCCAUUCUGUAGGACCAAGUCACCAACAGGAAC
Molecule: long non-coding RNA, 338 nt
Filed under: Lathyrus oleraceus (garden pea)
Lineage: Eukaryota; Viridiplantae; Streptophyta; Magnoliopsida; Fabales; Fabaceae
Description: Pisum sativum (pea) long non-coding RNA (PSAT_LNC027327)
Source: RNAcentral